This 403-nucleotide long non-coding RNA is filed under the name Oryza brachyantha (malo sina). RNAcentral describes it as "long non-coding RNA (OBRA_LNC003204)". Lineage: Eukaryota; Viridiplantae; Streptophyta; Magnoliopsida; Poales; Poaceae. The record is from RNAcentral.
GUCUUGGAUUUGGAGGCAUCGGGAAAACAAAAAUGUUUUGCAGAUGCAAUUACCUGCCUUCAAGGUCACCUAGCUUGAUCUUGCUCUACAGCUCAGCUCUGGAAUGCUCUAAAACACAUCUUGGCUAAGCGUUUAUUCUUGGUUAUGACUGUUCAUCUAGCUCUCUCUUGCACCAAGCUAUCUCAAAUUCGCCACCAACAAUCUGAGGGCUUGCCUGUAUCGCCUGAGCCCAGGGCGACUCGGGCAGGCGACCAAGUCCGCCGGCCACUACACUGCCUAGCUGCCUCCCUCCACCUUGUCGCUGCCUGAGCGGCUCGCCGGCAAUCCGAGCGGCUACAAGGACAGCGGCGGCGAGGCUUCUUUCGACGGUGGCCGCCACCCUGAAGGGUAGGGGUGGUGCGGA